AACGUACGCUGGCGGCACGCCUAACACAUGCAAGUCGAACGAAGUAGCAAUACUUAGUGGCAGACGGGUGAGUAACAUGUAGGUAUCUGCCCUUUGGCCUGGAAUAACACGAGGAAACUUGUGCUAAUACCGGAUAAGUCUUUACGGAGAAAGCUUUAUGCACCAUUGGAUGAGCCUGCACUUGAUUAGUUUGUUGGUGGGGUAAUGGCCUACCAAGACUGUGAUCAAUAGCUGAUUUGAGAGGAUGAUCAGCCACAUUGGGACUGAGACACGGCCCAAACUCCUACGGGAGGCAGCAGUGGGGAAUCUUGCACAAUGGAGGAAACUCUGAUGCAGCGAUGCCGCGUGAGUGAAGAAGGCCUUUGGGUUGUAAAGCUCUUUCGUCGGGGAAGAAAAUGACUGUACCCGAAUAAGAAGGUCCGGCUAACUUCGUGCCAGCAGCCGCGGUAAUACGAAGGGACCUAGCGUAGUUCGGAAUUACUGGGCUUAAAGAGUUCGUAGGUGGUUGAAAUAGUUGGUGGUGAAAUCCCAGAGCUUAACUCUGGAACUGCCAUCAAAACUUUUCAGCUAGAGUAUGAUAGAGGAAAGCAGAAUUUCUAGUGUAGAGGUGAAAUUCGUAGAUAUUAGAAAGAAUACCAAUUGCGAAGGCAGCUUUCUGGAUCAUUACUGACACUGAGGAACGAAAGCAUGGGUAGCGAAGAGGAUUAGAUACCCUCGUAGUCCAUGCCGUAAACGAUGUGUGUUAGACGUUGGAAAUUUAUUUUCAGUGUCGCAGGGAAACCGAUAAACACACCGCCUGGGGAGUACGACCGCAAGGUUAAAACUCAAAUGAAUUGACGGGGACCCGCACAAGUAGUGGAGCAUGUGGUUUAAUUCGAAGAUACGCGCAGAACCUUACCAACACUUGACAUGUUCGUCGCGACUCUAAGGGAUUAGAGUCUUCGGUUCGGCCGGACGAAACACAGGUGCUGCAUGGCUGUCGUCAGCUCGUGUCGUGAGAUGUUGGGUUAAGUCCCGCAACGAGCGCAACCCUCACUUUUAGUUGCCAUCAUUAAGUUGGGCACUCUGAAAGAACUGCCAGUGAUAAGCUGGAGGAAGGUGGGGAUGACGUCAAGUCCUCAUGGCCCUUACGUGUUGGGCUACACACGUGCUACAAUGGUAUCUACAACAGGAAGCAAAACUGCGAAGUUAAGCAAAUCCUUAAAAGAUACCUCAGUUCGGAUUGCACUCUGCAACUCGAGUGCAUGAAGCUGGAAUUACUAGUAAUCGUGGAUCAGCGUGCCACGGUGAAUGCGUUCCCGGGUCU
Molecule: ribosomal RNA, 1306 nt
Filed under: uncultured bacterium
Lineage: Bacteria
Description: bacterial SSU rRNA
Rfam family: Bacterial small subunit ribosomal RNA
Source: RNAcentral